AGAGUUUGAUCCUGGCUCAGAUUGAACGCUGGCGGCAGGCCUAACACAUGCAAGUCGAGCGGCAGCGGGAAAGUAGCUUGCUACUUUUGCCGGCGAGCGGCGGACGGGUGAGUAAUGCCUGGGAAAUUGCCCAGUCGAGGGGGAUAACAGUUGGAAACGACUGCUAAUACCGCAUACGCCCUACGGGGGAAAGCAGGGGACCUUCGGGCCUUGCGCGAUUGGAUAUGCCCAGGUGGGAUUAGCUUGUUGGUGAGGUAAUGGCUCACCAAGGCGACGAUCCCUAGCUGGUCUGAGAGGAUGAUCAGCCACACUGGAACUGAGACACGGUCCAGACUCCUACGGGAGGCAGCAGUGGGGAAUAUUGCACAAUGGGCGAAAGCCUGAUGCAGCAACGCCGCGUGAGCGAUGAAGGUCUUCGGAUCGUAAAGCUCUGUCCUCAAGGAAGAUAAUGACGGUACUUGAGGAGGAAGCCCCGGCUAACUACGUGCCAGCAGCCGCGGUAAUACGUAGGGGGCUAGCGUUAUCCGGAAUUACUGGGCGUAAAGGGUGC
Molecule: ribosomal RNA, 550 nt
Filed under: uncultured bacterium
Lineage: Bacteria
Description: bacterial SSU rRNA
Rfam family: Bacterial small subunit ribosomal RNA
Source: RNAcentral